Molecule: long non-coding RNA, 1365 nt
Filed under: Marmota monax (woodchuck)
Lineage: Eukaryota; Metazoa; Chordata; Mammalia; Rodentia; Sciuridae
Source: RNAcentral
GUAACUUUGGACAAAUAAUUUUCUUCAGAUGGAUGCAGAUAUCUCAGAAAAACGACUUUUACUGAAUUUCUCGUGUUGCUAUUAGAUCUUUGAAUUAUGUAAAUUUAAUUUCAUAGUUUUAAUAAAUGACACCUGGAAGACCACAAGAAAGUUUACACAUCCAGGCUCUGAGAAUGUAGUUCAGUGGUAAAAUACUUUCCUACCACGAGUGAGGGCCUGAGUUUUACCCCCAGCACUGCAAAAGAAAACAACAAGUAGAACAACAAAAAAAUACUCAGGAUGUACAGCUAAACUAAAGUACACUGAACUUUGUCUAGAGCCCUAGCAUGAAACAACAUGAAUCAAGAAAAUCAACCUAUAGCAAUAUAGUUAGCACAAAGAUGCAAUAUCAUCUACCAGCAAUACUGGGGAGAAACCCUUAGAACUGAAACAUGAAAAAUAAGUAAGUCUUUACUGAUCCAACAUCAGACGCAAAUUAUUGAAAAUAACAUGAAUGCUAAUAUUUUAUUCUCAGUCUUUGCCCAUAAAAUAGAGAUAAUUCACAUGUGCAGUUCAACAAGUGAUUAUUAGUAUAGAUGCUCAUAUAAUUCUAACCUGAAGUAUUGGGUUGUCCUGUAUUAUCUACAGUAGAAAAAGCAGCAAGGCCCUAUACAUCAACAAUAGAUUCUCUAUGGGAUAAAUUAUUCUAGAUAGAUUUGUGUGCUAAGUUGGAUUAAGUACCAUUCCUGUCUCUUUAGCACAAAAAUAAUAGCAGGAAUUUUUUUGAAGAGGGGCAGGAGAGAAGCUUGGAUCCCUAACAGGGCUGCUUACAGAUUACUUAUGGACUAGAUACCUAUGGCAAGGAGAGACGUAAGUUCUGAAGCUCAGCUCACCUGUUGUGUUGAGGGCCCUAUCCAUGGUCACGCCUCCAUAGUGCUAUUCUAGAUACAGUUGACUCAGACUGUGCUUGGUUUUCCAUUAUGGAAGGAGAGAAAUGGAUUUGGGGUGACAUUGUGCCACAUUUUGAGAGUGAAUGUUUGCUCUGAGGAAGCUUGAAGAAAAAGGCACCUUCUGGGAGGACUAAGUAAGGCCAUAAAGAUGAGCAAGAAGUAUCUAAUCCUCUCAUUUUUUUUUUUCUUAGACUGUGGGAACAGUCACAGGGAAAAAAGAAAUGAGGCUAUCAAGAGAAGUAUGAUGGAUUAUUUCCAAAUGUAGCCCCAAUAAUCUGUUCUAUUCUUAACCCCUUUUUGCAAUGUGACAUUGCCACUUAUCAGGUAGUAAAGUCUGUUUUUCUUCUCCUUAAAUCUAGGGUCGCUCUUGCUUUGAGUUAGAGAGUGUACUGUUGUUACUUUGGGGCCUACUGGGCCUUAAUAGAUAUAUCUUUCA